AUCUGAAUAGUUUAAAAAGAUUUUAAUUUGUGGAAUUAAAGGUACUAAAUUAAUAGUAGUUUCGGAUA
RNAcentral lists this transfer RNA (68 nucleotides) under Evania appendigaster. RNAcentral describes it as "tRNA-His". The record is from RNAcentral. Lineage: Eukaryota; Metazoa; Arthropoda; Insecta; Hymenoptera; Evaniidae.